AAAAAUAUCUACCGGUACUUCACGACACGUUCCGGGAGACAUCGGGAGAAUCUCCGGGUUCAAUUUUGAGGAGAUCUGCGGUGUUCAAAACAGCAGGCUGACGACUAGGUAUUCCCCAGGCAUUUGACAAGGAACUCUGACAGCAGAAGUCGGGACUGCAGAAUCAGUGAACAGUUUUGAAACACGGUUGGACCUGUGCUGGGGGAAGAAGGAGUACUGCGUGUGACAGGAGGGUGACACGACAGGAAGCAAAGCCUAAUUCACCUAGGAAUCCUGCAAGGUAUCCCCACAAGCAAAAUUCAUGUCUGGACGCACUAAGAGAGGAGCUGGAUAAGGGAGGUGCCACGCAGCAGCGUCACUGAAGGUGUUUCUCGACAUCAGUGCAUCACCAAGCCAAGAAGGCACCAAGCCCAACACGAACUCUUACAGCAAAAGUCGUCACUGCAGAAUCAGUGAACAGUUAUGAAACACGGUUGGACCUGUGCUGGGGGAAGAAGGAGUGCUGUGUGUGACAGGAGGCCUAGGGUGACACGACAGGCAGCAAAGCCUAAUUCACCUAGGAAUCCUGCAAGGUAUCCCCACAAGUGGGAAGUUGCCGGGAAGGAGACAUCUUCCAGAAUCAACUACAGCUGCAAUGGUGGGACUGAUCCCGGUGAGAGGUUGUCUAAUACCAAGUACGCCAUCUCCACAGCCAGAAGGCCGAUGUUCGUGUGUACGCCAUACCAGAGGACCUGAAACUGUUAAGUUCUUACAUAUCUUAGGGUUUGAUCGUUUAAAACGGAAUCAUCUUGCAGAAAUGGGCUGGGAUUGACUUGACAUCGGCAUGAUAGGAAGUAAAUGAUCUGUGAUGUUACAUUCAUAACUUUAGCUGAUAUUAAGAUUCCCUUUGUCUACAUGAGGCAUUGUCGGCAGGGCUGAUCAGUCUCUUGGUUGGUGGCGAGGUGCUUGAGUGUGUUUUGUUGACACCCUGAGUGAUGUUGUUGGUAGGUGGCUAGGGCAUUUUGUGAGUUGGGGCUUCUUUUGCACACGGUACCUCAGCCCGUUUCUGUGGUGUACAGGCCCGGUGUGUGGCUGGUUUGGCUUCUGUGACUGUGUU
This is a long non-coding RNA of Branchiostoma floridae (Florida lancelet), 1096 nucleotides long. RefSeq lists it as uncharacterized. NCBI's taxonomy places the organism in Eukaryota, Metazoa, Chordata, Leptocardii, Amphioxiformes, Branchiostomatidae. The transcript is spliced from 5 exons. The record is from RefSeq and is a predicted model, not a curated record.